UGCCAGCCGCCGCGGUAAUACAGAGGGUGCAAGCGUUAUUCGGAAUUACUCGGCGUAAAGCGCGCGUAGGCGGACUGUUAAGUCGGUUGUGAAAGCCCUGGGCUCAACCUAGGAACUGCAUCCGAUACUGGCAAUCUAGAGUUUAAGAGAGGGAAGUGGAAUUCCAGGUGUAGCAGUGAAAUGCGUAGAUAUCUGGAGGAACAUCAGUGGCGAAGGCGACUUCCUGGGCCAAUACUGACGCUGAGGUGCGAAAGCGUGGGGAGCAAACAGGAUUAGAUA
Molecule: ribosomal RNA, 279 nt
Filed under: uncultured bacterium
Lineage: Bacteria
Description: partial 16S ribosomal RNA
Rfam family: Bacterial small subunit ribosomal RNA
Source: RNAcentral